Molecule: small nucleolar RNA, 106 nt
Organism: Tripterygium wilfordii
Lineage: Eukaryota; Viridiplantae; Streptophyta; Magnoliopsida; Celastrales; Celastraceae
Source: RefSeq, a predicted model, not a curated record
GGGUCAUGAUUGGGACAACUCCUUAUAAUAGCUUUGAACCGCUCCCAAGCCUCAUAGAUAGAUUCGAGAUUGAAUUGAACAAAUGUCAUAAUCUCAUUCCGAAUUU